CUCCUACGAGAGGCAGCAGUGGGGAAUUUUGGACAAUGGGGGCAACCCUGAUCCAGCAAUGCCGCGUGAGUGAAGAAGGCCUUCGGGUUGUAAAGCUCUUUUGUCAGGGAAGAAACGGCACUUUUAAAUAAAGGGUGUUAAUGACGGUACCUGAAGAAUAAGCACCGGCUAACUACGUGCCAGCCGCCGCGGUAAUUC
Molecule: ribosomal RNA, 198 nt
Filed under: uncultured bacterium
Lineage: Bacteria
Description: partial 16S ribosomal RNA
Rfam family: Bacterial small subunit ribosomal RNA
Source: RNAcentral